RNAcentral lists this long non-coding RNA (1155 nucleotides) under Felis catus (domestic cat). Its description in RNAcentral is "lncRNA (ENSFCAG00000051514.1)". The record is from RNAcentral. Lineage: Eukaryota; Metazoa; Chordata; Mammalia; Carnivora; Felidae.
ACAUAUAUAUUCUGUAUAUUAUCUAUAACUGUAUAUCUCAGUUUACAUCUAUACUGUCUCUCUGAAGAACUCUCACUGAUACAAAAAGUAACUGAAGGCCACCCAGAGAAUAAGAAAAAGACCAAAGGACAUUUUUUUUUACUUUCCUUCAACAGAUCAUUUUCUUGACGACUUUCCAGAAUAAGACAAGAAGGACAGAGCUCCAUGAUCAGGGUCAUAAAGAUGCUUUUUCUGUCAAGCGCCUCGUGAGAAAUUUUGUUUGCUUUCUUUUUUUUCCAAAGUGAAAAGGGUGUGUGAAUAUUGACAAGUAAUCCACAAAUAAAAGGCAACCAAGGAGCCCUGGUUUGCAUAGGUUUAAGAGGAUUUUCACAUUCUUUCGAAGAGCUCAAUUGUAGUUAAGUACAGGGAUGGAGUCUCCAAGGAAAACGGACUGGUUCCACCUUGAUUCACAUUUGAUUUGCCCUAUCACUCUUUCCUGUAUCCACAGCGUCCACUCAAAAGAUGCAGCGCUCUUCAAUAUAACGUAGAGGGUAACUGAUCAGCUUGGCUCCAUUGCAACUGUGCUGACGUUUGCUAAAACGCCCAAACCCAAUGGGAUAAAUUAUUCAGUUUACCUGAAAGAUGAGGGAAGGGCUGUGACGGGUUGUUAAAGAAGAAUACUACUAGCCUCUGCUUUCAAAGCAUGCAAAGGAUUGUCAGCUCCAGCCUACUUCUCAAAUAAACCACGAAAUCCACAAGCCCACAUGGAGACUCUCCUGUUCAGCCACAUCCAUUCUUAAUUUCUGUUCCCCCGGCAGGCAAGGCACAGGAGAGACAAGUCAGAUGAUUUGCAGCUCAAACUAUAAAAGAAGUUUCAGAGAAACAAUAGGAAAAAAAAAGAAGGUUUGGGAAGGGCCAGCAGGUACCAUACAAGGCUUGUCAGCGUCUGAUGAACGAGGACUUUUUCGCACAAGGUAGAACUUACACGGGGAACAGCACUGGUCUUUGUGAUCUCUGCGCUCAUGAAAUGUGACACAAACUCCCACGUCUCUAGAAAAGCCAUCUCCGGCAUCUCCAACUUUCUUCCCACUUUCCCAUACUUACAGGCGCACGAGGGCACCCACUUCCUAUGGAUGCCGUAAGAAAUGACCAAAAGCCUGAGGCCUUUCAAAUGGU